This 506-nucleotide ribosomal RNA is filed under the name uncultured bacterium. RNAcentral describes it as "bacterial SSU rRNA". It matches the Rfam family "Bacterial small subunit ribosomal RNA", at positions 9 to 497 of the family's 1533-position model. The record is from RNAcentral.
GAGUUUGAUCCUGGCUCAGGAUGAACGCUGGCGGCGUGCCUAAUACAUGCAAGUCGAGCGAACAGAUAAGGAGCUUGCUCCUUUGAAGUUAGCGGCGGACGGGUGAGUAACACGUGGGUAACCUACCUAUAAGACUGGGAUAACUUCGGGAAACCGGAGCUAAUACCGGAUAACAUUUAGAACCGCAUGGUUCUAAAGUGAAAGAUGGUUUUGCUAUCACUUAUAAAUGGACCCGCGCCGUAUUAGCUAGUUGGUAAGGUAACGGCUUACCAAGGCGACGAUACGUAGCCGACCUGAGAGGGUGAUCGGCCACACUGGAACUGAGACACGGUCCAGACUCCUACGGGAGGCAGCAGUAGGGAAUCUUCCGCAAUGGGCGAAAGCCUGACGGAGCAACGCCGCGUGAGUGAUGAAGGGUUUCGGCUCGUAAAACUCUGUUAUUAGGGAAGAACAAAUGUGUAAGUAACUGUGCACAUCUUGACGGUACCUAAUCAGAAAGCCACGGC